CACUCACCGGUGGGACAGUGAGACAGGGACCCACCGCUGACACGUCCCACGUCAGACAGGGAGGAGGAGGCCCCCAAAGGGAGGGAGCCAGCAUGCCUGCUGUGUCAGCCAUCAGAGGCUGACCCGGACAUCUGUAGAGAAAACCUUCAGAUAAAUGAGUUCUGUGCCCACGAGUUCUGCCUGUUUUUUGCCAGCCUCCUUGAUCAGCAAGAGAAUGAACGAGUAGGACUCAGGGUUUUCCUCCCAAGGAAUAUCCCAGAUGUACUCUCCCAGGUGGCACAGCAGGUGAGAGCCUGACAAGAGCAGGGAGAUUUGGGCCAGGUGAGGUUUGCUGGAGCUCAGCCCAGACCCCAAGCAAGAAAGCCCAGCCCUUCCAACCAGCUCUGGGACAAGGAGGAGGCCAUGAGGCUGCUGCU
Neopelma chrysocephalum (saffron-crested tyrant-manakin) is the source of this 416-nucleotide long non-coding RNA. RefSeq lists it as uncharacterized. The record is from RefSeq and is a predicted model, not a curated record. Lineage: Eukaryota; Metazoa; Chordata; Aves; Passeriformes; Pipridae. The transcript is spliced from 3 exons.